Triticum aestivum (bread wheat) is the source of this 140-nucleotide non-coding RNA. The record is from Rfam. Lineage: Eukaryota; Viridiplantae; Streptophyta; Magnoliopsida; Poales; Poaceae.
GACGUUGGACGACGACCAGCUGAUCUCGCACAUCCUCGUCGGUCUCGACAUGGAGUAUCAACCGCUGGUCUCGGCGCUCGAUGCUCGCACCAUCCCUGUCUCGCUCGAUGAGCUCUUUGCUCAGAUGAGAAAUUUUGACC